UUUUCCUACGGGGGGCAGCAGUGGGGAAUAUUGCACAAUGGGGGAAACCCUGAUGCAGCGACGCCGCGUGAGUGAAGAAGUAUCUCGGAACGUAAAGCUCUAUCAGCAGGGAAGAAAAUGACGGUACCUGACUAAGAAGCCCCGGCUAACUACGUGCCAGCAGCCGCGGUAAUACGUAGGGGGCAAGCGUUAUCCGGAUUUACUGGGUGUAAAGGGUGCGUAGGUGGCAGGGCAAGUCAGAUGUGAAAGCCCGGGGCCCAACCCCCGGACUGCUCUGGAAACUGUGUAACUUGAGUGCAGGAGAG
Molecule: ribosomal RNA, 305 nt
Filed under: uncultured bacterium
Lineage: Bacteria
Description: bacterial SSU rRNA
Rfam family: Bacterial small subunit ribosomal RNA
Source: RNAcentral